RNAcentral lists this ribosomal RNA (380 nucleotides) under uncultured eukaryote. RNAcentral's name for it is "partial 18S ribosomal RNA". It matches the Rfam family "Eukaryotic small subunit ribosomal RNA", at positions 592 to 976 of the family's 1831-position model. The record is from RNAcentral.
CAAUAGCGUAUAUUAAAGUUGUUGCAGUUAAAAAGCUCGUAGUUGGAUUUGUGGCUGUCACGGGCGGCCUAUCACUUAGUGUUAGUGCUUGCCUGUGUCGCCAUCCUUGGGUGGAGCCCGUGUGGCAUUAGGUUGUCGUGCGGGGGAUGCCCAUCGUUUACUGGGAGAAAAUUAGAGUGUUCAAAGCAGGCUUAUGCCGUUGAAUAUGUUAGCAUGGAAUAAUAAGAUAGGACCUCGGUACUAUUUUGUUGGUUUGCGCACCGAGGUAAUGAUUAAUAGGGACAGUUGGGGGUAUUCGUAUUUCAUUGUCAGAGGUGAAAUUCUUGGAUUUCUGAAAGACGAACUACUGCGAAAGCAUUUACCAAGGAUGUUUUCAUUAA